CCUACGGGGGGCUGCAGUGGGGAAUAUUGGACAAUGGGGGGAACCCUGAUCCAGCCAUGCCGCGUGUGUGAAGAAGGCCCUCGGGUUGUAAAGCACUUUCAGUGAGGAAGAACGCCUGGUGGUUAAUACCCAUCAGGAAAGACAUCACUCACAGAAGAAGCACCGGCUAACUCCGUGCCAGCAGCCGCGGUAAUACGGAGGGUGCGAGCGUUAAUCGGAAUUACUGGGCGUAAAGCGCGCGUAGGUGGCUUGAUAAGCCGGUUGUGAAAGCCCCGGGCUCAACCUGGGAACGGCAUCCGGAACUGUCAAGCUAAAGUGCAGGAGAGGAAGGUAGAAUUCCCGGUGUAGCGGUGAAAUGCGUAGAGAUCGGGAGGAAUACCAGUGGCGAAGGCGGCCUUCUGGACUGACACUGACACUGAGGUGCGAAAGCGUGGGUAGCAAACAGGAUUAGAUACCCCUGUAGUC
Molecule: ribosomal RNA, 465 nt
Filed under: Vreelandella stevensii
Lineage: Bacteria; Pseudomonadati; Pseudomonadota; Gammaproteobacteria; Oceanospirillales; Halomonadaceae
Description: partial 16S ribosomal RNA
Rfam family: Bacterial small subunit ribosomal RNA
Source: RNAcentral